CAAGGAAUAGUUUAGUUUAGAAUCCUAGCUUUGGGAGUUAGGGGUGGGAGUUAAAAUCUCCUUUCUUUGA
RNAcentral lists this transfer RNA (70 nucleotides) under Occella dodecaedron. RNAcentral describes it as "tRNA-Pro". It matches the Rfam family "tRNA". From Rfam's summary of the family: Transfer RNA (tRNA) molecules are approximately 80 nucleotides in length. Their secondary structure includes four short double-helical elements and three loops (D, anti-codon, and T loops). The record is from RNAcentral. Lineage: Eukaryota; Metazoa; Chordata; Actinopteri; Perciformes; Agonidae.